GGCUCGGUAGCUCAGUUGGUAGAGCAAUGGAUUGAAUCUCCAUGUGUCGGCGGUUCGAUUCCGUCUCGCGCCA
RNAcentral lists this transfer RNA (73 nucleotides) under Streptococcus pneumoniae. Its description in RNAcentral is "tRNA-Phe(gaa)". It matches the Rfam family "tRNA". From Rfam's summary of the family: Transfer RNA (tRNA) molecules are approximately 80 nucleotides in length. Their secondary structure includes four short double-helical elements and three loops (D, anti-codon, and T loops). The record is from RNAcentral. Lineage: Bacteria; Bacillati; Bacillota; Bacilli; Lactobacillales; Streptococcaceae.